RNAcentral lists this ribosomal RNA (484 nucleotides) under uncultured bacterium. Its description in RNAcentral is "SSU rRNA". It matches the Rfam family "Bacterial small subunit ribosomal RNA", at positions 26 to 523 of the family's 1533-position model. The record is from RNAcentral.
AGGACGAACGCUGGCGGCGUGCUUAACACAUGCAAGUCGAGCGAGGCCUCUCCUUCGGGAGAGUGUCCUAGCGGCGAACGGGUGAGUAACACGUGGGCAACCUGCCCCUAGCAUUGGGAUAAGCCCGGGAAACCGGGUCUAAUACCGAAUACGAUCUCGGAAGGCAUCUUCUGAGAUGGAAAAGGUUACUGGCUAGGGAUGGGCCCGCGGCCUAUCAGCUUGUUGGUGGGGUAAUGGCCUACCAAGGCGACGACGGGUAGCCGGCCUGAGAGGGCGACCGGCCACACUGGGACUGAGACACGGCCCAGACUCCUACGGGAGGCAGCAGUGGGGAAUAUUGCACAAUGGGCGAAAGCCUGAUGCAGCGACGCCGCGUGAGGGAUGACUGCCUUCGGGUUGUAAACCUCUUUCAGCAGGGACGAAGCGAAAGUGACGGUACCUGCAGAAGAAGCACCGGCCAACUACGUGCCAGCAGCCGCGGUAA